AGAGUUUGAUCCUGGCUCAGGAUGAACGCUAGCGGCAGGCUUAACACAUGCAAGUCGAGGGGUAACAGGGUGCUUGCACCGCUGACGACCGGCGCACGGGGGCGUGCGUAUACAAUCUACCUUUUACAGAGAGAUACCCCAGAGAAAUUUGGAAUAAUACCUCAUAAUAUUAUUGCUCGGCAUCGAGUGACAAUUAAAGUUUCGGCGGUAAAAGAUGAGUAUGCGUCCUAUUAGCUAGUUGGUAAGGUAACGGCUUACCAAGGCGACGAUAGGUAGGGGUCCUGAGAGGGAGAUCCCCCACACUGGUACUGAGACACGGACCAGACUCCUACGGGAGGCAGCAGUGAGGAAUAUUGGUCAAUGGGCGCAAGCCUGAACCAGCCAUCCCGCGUGCAGGAUGACGGCCCUAUGGGUUGUAAACUGCUUUUAUACACCAAGAAAAACACCCACGUGUGGGUGCCCGACGGUAGUGUAUGAAUAAGCAUCGGCUAACUCCGUGCCAGCAGCCGCGGUAAUACGGAGGAUGCAAGCGUUAUCCGGAUUCAUUGGGUUUAAAGGGUGCGUAGGCGGCUUUUUAAGUCAGUGGUGAAAUCCUGCCGCUUAACGGUAGAAUUGCCAUUGAUACUGAAAAGCUUGAGUACAUUUGAGGAAGCGGAAUGUGUAGUGUAGCGGUGAAAUGCUUAGAUAUUACACAGAACACCAAUUGCGAAGGCAGCUUACUAAACUGAUACUGACGCUGAUGCACGAAAGCGUGGGGAGCGAACAGGAUUAGAUACCCUGGUAGUCCACGCCGUAAACGAUGCUCACUCGCUGUUUGCGAUACACAGCAAGCGGCCAAGCGAAAGCAUUAAGUGAGCCACCUGGGGAGUACGAUCGCAAGGUUGAAACUCAAAGGAAUUGACGGGGGCCCGCACAAGCGGAGGAACAUGUGGUGUUUAAUUCGAUGAUACGCGAGGAACCUUACCUGGGCUUAAAUGUAGAGCGACAGAUUGUGAAAGCAGUCCUUCUUCGGACGAUCUACAAGGUGCUGCAUGGUUGUCGUCAGCUCGUGCCGUGAGGUGUCGGGUUAAGUCCCAUAACGAGCGCAACCCUUAUCGUUAGUUGCCAGCGGGUCAAGCCGGGGACUCUAGCGAGACUGCCACCGUAAGGUGUGAGGAAGGUGGGGAUGACGUCAAAUCAGCACGGCCCUUAUGUCCAGGGCUACACACGUCAUACAAUGGCUGGUACAAAGGGUUGCCAACCCGCGAGGGGGAGCUAAUCCCAUAAAGCCAGUCGUAGUCCGGAUCGUAGUCUGCAACUCGACUACGUGAAGUCGGAAUCGCUAGUAAUCGUGGAUCAGAAUGUCACGGUGAAUACGUUCCCGGGUCUUGUACACACCGCCCGUCACACCAUGGGAGCGGGUUCUGCCAGAAGUAGUUAGCCUAACCGCAAGGAGGGCGAUUACCACGGCAGGGUUCGUGACUGGGGUGAAGUCGUAACAAGGUAACCC
Molecule: ribosomal RNA, 1489 nt
Filed under: uncultured bacterium
Lineage: Bacteria
Description: bacterial SSU rRNA
Rfam family: Bacterial small subunit ribosomal RNA
Source: RNAcentral